Long non-coding RNA from Mauremys mutica (yellowpond turtle), 480 nucleotides. RefSeq lists it as uncharacterized. Lineage: Eukaryota; Metazoa; Chordata; Testudines; Geoemydidae. The record is from RefSeq and is a predicted model, not a curated record. The transcript is spliced from 3 exons.
GGUAGGCACCCUGUGUGCGCAGGCCAUACCGGUACUGGUGCAGAAAUCUCUGAUCAAAGGUGCAGGGAUGCACCUUGACCUGGAGUCGAGCACCCACAGGGACACUCAUCUCGACAAAUUCAGUUACUGCACAAGGUGGCCAUGAUGAAAAACAAUCUAUAAGAAUAGGUAGAUGAUGAAGAUGAAUAGAACUGCUCAGUGAUUGACCAUGGCAGUGGUCAAAAUCCAGAGUACCAAAUCAGCUAACUGCGUGGCUAUGAUUUCAUGAACACAGUCAUGCAAAAAGAAAAGCAGAAAGUAAUGAAAGAGCUAAAGCACCUUCAUCAGCAAAUGCCAGGCUAGAGAUGGACCCAGAGAAAGCUCUCAAGACCUCACUGCCCCCAGCCUUUGGACAAAUUCAGAUCUGGAUUUGGAUGUGGAUGAAACUUUGUUCAGAUUCAGCUGCAUAUUCGUCAGCAGGUGAUACAGCAAGCAGCAUCA